AAAACUUUGUAGCACAGAAUGAGUAGCUAUCUACUCAUUCUAUAAUAUAUCUAAUGUCAUCUUUUUUUUGAAAUUCCCAAUUUGGGUGUCAAGUUUGAACUCUGAGGUAGAGUGGAAAACUGGGUUUGUUUCAAUGUGUGUACUAGUUAAAAGCAAAGGUAUGUAAUGUUAAAGUCUGGCAAUCAAUUGGUAAAGAAUAAAUCACAAAGGACUAGUUUUAUUAGAAAUACAGAUCUUUUCAUCCUAUUAAAGGAGAGCCUUUACCUUGGCUGAUGCUUAGCUUGGGUUUGAAGGAGUUAUCCAUUCCACAGCUCAUCAAAAUAGGGAACUGACUGCACUCAGUUAAGGUGCUUUGACAAGCAUUAAAAAAGUACUUCACCUGGCUAACUCAUGUUGGAGUUUAUCUGAUUAACCCCCUUAUUCCUAAUUUUAAUAUUUAGGAGAUUCUUGCAGUUUGCAAGGGAUUGAAGUGGCACAUACCCUGAGUGCAUUGGGGUGGAAAACAGUUUUGAUAAAUAUUAACACUGGAGUACGUCAUCAUGCAAAAACACCAGGACUUUAAGAAACUGAACUUGGGGAGAAAUAGCUUGCACUUGCUAUUAUAUUUCACAUUCUUGCCUAUUGAAUAAAAAUAAAAGUGAUGAAUUAGUUGCCCUACAGAUUUAUUCAUUUGUAAGGUGUAAUAGCUUAUUGUGUAGUCAUUGGUGAUUGUAAACCCAGUGUUGGUUGGGGGAUACGAUAGGCAAGGAUGUCAGUACAUCAUUAGGAUGCAGAAUUCAGGCACAUCUGGUAAUUAGAAGCAAAUGUCCAAGUUCCUUAAGUUUGUUCUUAUGCCAAUGUUUAGCAUGUAUUUCCUUAAGAAUGAUGCUUCACAAAACAAUUGAACCUGAGUAUGACAUGCUACUUGAAACUUAAGUCUAGGCCAGUCUCUAUUCAGGAAAAUAUAGUCAGGCUUCAGGUUGUACUCUGGCCAUGUUAAGCAAUAAAAUGUUGAGUGUUUUCAAUCUUUAUUAUAAUAUUAGGGAUUGCAGGCUGGACUGGACAGCCAGGAAGGACUGCAUCAAAUACUGAACCUAGUGCCUACAGUUACUUGUAUUUUUUUCCUCUGGCAGUCCUAUUCCGUGACAGAAGAGGUGGUCAGUUUUGCCCAGUAAAAUAAUCUGUAUGUGCAAACACUUGAGACAUUGGUACAAAUUGAUAGCCACCAAGAACAAGUGGCUAGAAUAGACACUUAACCUGGGAAUGUGAUCAUGUCCUACAAGCACUAAACUAUACAGACAGAAGGUAAUGAUUAUUAUUUGGCACUUGAGUACCUAGUUAAGGAAGACGGGAGAGUUAUGGACAAGUACAAUAAAAGGUUCCAACAUAUUUUUUGUUAAAAAUAAAGCAAAAGAAGUGUGCUGAUUUAAGUUUCAUCUCCUUUUCCUUAGUCUGUCCAUGUGAAUGGCUGUGUGGAAGAGUAAAAGAAAGGGCCCAUCUAAAUGUGUUCCAGAGAUUCCAAUAGGUAUUCCAAAUUCAUUGCUGCUUGUGUAUUUAACAUUGUGUUAGGUUUCUAAGAGCACCUAUAAAGUUGAUUGGCAACCAGAUGGACAGAUCUCUAACAGGAAGGUUUUAAAUAACAUGCUUAUUUUUAGGUUUAUGAGUCCUUUACAUGGUGUUCAGUGUGCUUCCUACUUCACAGGAGUGCAAAGCAGGGAAGACAGGAUACAUUUCUGUUCUGGGAACUGUGAAGUGCAGUGAGGAAGUACGCUUGAGGCAUACAGAGGGAUGGGAAGAGUUUGAUUAUAGCGUUUAAUCGACUGUUUGAAAUUACUUGAAAGCCUUAGAGGAAACGUCUCACCUAUACCAGAAUAAUGUCUUUAUAUUAAGUGAGGAGAAUUAGUAGCAAUUCUAGGGGUAUUGUUGCUUAGUGAAGCAGAGCGCUACUCUAAACAACAUGUUGUCUUUUAAGUACAGUUACCCUUACCCUAGAGAAGGGAAGACGUUAUGAAUGUGAUGGUUGAGAAAAUCUCCAGCUAGUUAUGAUGGCCCUACCCGUUUCCCAGCAAUUCAGAGUAGGAGAUGCCUUUCUGGCUUUACCUCAUCAUACAUAGUGAUAUUCACAACUCACUUAAUUUUAAGUCUGUAAUUUGCAACUAAUUUAGUGCUCACUUAAACUGGAGAAUACAGUGCUUUCAGUUAUAUUCAUAAUAAUUUUCUUGUCCCAACAGUUAACCUUUCCAGGAAAAAAAAACUUUAAAUGGAACUUCAUGUACAAAAUGAGCUGUGUGAUACCAGUAUUGGGUGGUUUAGAUACUGGUGUAUUGACCCAAUUUGAUAUUUUAACAUGCUUUAAAACAUGAAUAGAAAACCAUUACAAGUCUGAAUUACGAAAAAUUGUUAACUCAUGAUUUGCUUACCCAAAGAAUAGCACAUAUUUAACUUGACUUUUAAAGGGGUGUUUGGCCCCUGUCACAGAUCUUUAUCUAGGAAUAGAAGGAUUCAAACUUUACUUGAUCCCUAGCUCUGUGCUGAAAAGUGCAUAAACAGGAAUCCUGAAUUUAUUAUAUAGACCUCCUCGCAUUAUAUAAUCGAAGCAAAGGGAAACCAGCGAUGGAGUUAGAGCUAGUUAGCUGGUGCCACUGUUCCUAUCACCUAGUGUGAAGUUUGGAGUUAAUGGGACAAUGAAGGAGGCAGUGCCCUGCAGACCCCGGAAUAGGCAUGGAAGGUCUGCCUUUUGCUGUGGAAUGAAGUAACCUUGGUAAUGAUGAAGGUAUAGGAGAUUUUACUAGCCAAGAGGUUUCUUAUAGGUAAGCCCAAGGUAAGCUGUAAUUGCAGGUUUUAGAUGCGGGGGCUUGAGUUGGCUGUCCAGUUUUGCAUGCUACCCCCUUAGCAAACAAGCUGAGAGCAUAGCUGUCCUUUGUACAGCUUGUUAAAUGGGAAAUUACCAAGUAAUGCCUACUAGUAUUCUCCCUCGUCUAUGUAUGCAGUGCUGCUGCUUAAAACAUGAGUGACAUACAUAAACACAACUGCACACAUGUGUCGGGGGUAUCCUGGGGCUUGGCCUAAGUGCUGUCUCUGAGCUUUUUUGCUCAUAGCUAGCUCUCUACCGUUUUGAGCCACGGUGGUAUUUCCAGGUGGUUAAUUGGAGGCAAGUCUGAUACUUUCCUGCUCUGGCUGGCUUUGAACCAUAGUCCUCGGGUCAUAGUUACUUAGGAUAAUAGCUAGGGUUACAGGCAUGAGCUACCAACCCCCUCUUUCAGUUAGGUGGUCAUGACCUCUUUGAUUAUUUAUGUUCUAUGGUAAGAGUGGACAGAGCUUUUAAACUUCCUUUUUCACUAACUUUCCCUUACCAAUGUUUGACAGCAUUUGCUAGUAGUUAUUUGGAAAAGCCAUAUAACUUCAGCACUUUGUCCCUCACAGUAACAGCCGACACAUUUUGUAGACACAGUGGGGAAAACAAUGUAAAACAAAGGAGUGUUUUCAAGACCUGUGCCUUACUCCAUUGAGCCUUGACCCAUCAAAGGAAUAGGACCAAGAACAUCUGAAGUCCCUGACCUAGUGACGUUUCUCCCUCCACAGUACACUCAACCAGUUCUUAAACAUGUAGCUAGUUUAGUUAAUAUUAUUUGGAAAAGAAAUGGCCAGGCACCCGUGGCUCACUCCUGUGAUUCUAGUUGAGUAGGAGGCUGUUUUGAGAGGACUGUGGUGCAAAGCCAUCUGGAUCAGGAAAGUCCAUGAGACUCCACUUCACCACCCAGAAAGCUAGAAGUGCACUAGCCUUGCGUAAAAAUUACCUCAGGGCACAGAGCCCAAGCCCUGACUUCAAGUCCCACAGUACACAAAGAAUGGUGGCAUUAUACGUGAUUGUCCUAAGAAAGGGGUGAAGCGGUGAGGUGUGUGCUCCUGGCAGUGGCUUUUUCAGGGCUGUGCUAGUGUAUAAUUCCUUGUCUGCGACAUGACUCGUGGUAGAGUGGUUGCCAAGGAAGUAUAAAACCCUGAUGAGUUCAAGCCCAGUACCUGGGGGGAAAACCUUAAAC
Molecule: long non-coding RNA, 4019 nt
Organism: Perognathus longimembris pacificus (Pacific pocket mouse)
Lineage: Eukaryota; Metazoa; Chordata; Mammalia; Rodentia; Heteromyidae
Exons: 3
Source: RefSeq, a predicted model, not a curated record